The sequence is a transfer RNA, 75 nucleotides long. It matches the Rfam family "tRNA". Rfam says of the family: Transfer RNA (tRNA) molecules are approximately 80 nucleotides in length. Their secondary structure includes four short double-helical elements and three loops (D, anti-codon, and T loops). Further hydrogen bonds mediate the characteristic L-shaped molecular structure. tRNAs have two regions of fundamental functional importance: the anti-codon, which is responsible for specific mRNA codon recognition, and the 3' end, to which the tRNAs corresponding amino acid is attached (by aminoacyl-tRNA synthetases). tRNAs cope with the degeneracy of the genetic code in two manners: having more than one tRNA (with a specific anti-codon) for a particular amino acid; and 'wobble' base-pairing, i.e. permitting non-standard base-pairing at the 3rd anti-codon position.
GCACCGCUAGCUCAACGGUAGAGCAGGAGCCUCUUAAGCUCUUGGUUGAAGGUUCGAAUCCUUCGCGGUGCACCA